ACACUGUUGAGAAGUCCCACAAUAGGACGAAACGGCCGUCCAGUGC
RNAcentral lists this non-coding RNA (46 nucleotides) under Schistosoma margrebowiei. Lineage: Eukaryota; Metazoa; Platyhelminthes; Trematoda; Strigeidida; Schistosomatidae. The record is from RNAcentral.